Molecule: non-coding RNA, 79 nt
Organism: Phalacrocorax carbo (great cormorant)
Lineage: Eukaryota; Metazoa; Chordata; Aves; Suliformes; Phalacrocoracidae
Source: Rfam
UUCUCUGGUUAGUUUUGCAGGUUUGCAUCCAGCUGUGUGAUACUCUGCUGUGCAAAUCCAUGCAAAACUGACUGUGGCA